GUGCUCGCUUUGGCAACAUAUAUACUAAAAUUGGAACAAUACAGAGAUUGGCACGGCCCCUGCACAAGGAUGACAUGCAAAUUGAGAGAGAGAGAGAGAGAGAGA
Molecule: small nuclear RNA, 105 nt
Organism: Gracilinanus agilis (Agile Gracile Mouse Opossum)
Lineage: Eukaryota; Metazoa; Chordata; Mammalia; Didelphimorphia; Didelphidae
Source: RefSeq, a predicted model, not a curated record